Molecule: ribosomal RNA, 412 nt
Filed under: uncultured microorganism
Description: bacterial SSU rRNA
Rfam family: Archaeal small subunit ribosomal RNA
Source: RNAcentral
GUGCAGCAGGCGAGAAACCUCCGCAAUGCGCGAAAGCGCGACGGGGUUACCCGAGUGCCGUCCGCUGAGGACGGCUUUGCCCAGUGUAGCCAGCUGGGCGAAUAAGGAGAGGGCAAGUCUGGUGUCAGCCGCCGCGGUAAUACCAGCUCUCCGAGUGGUGGGGACGCUUAUUGGGCCUAAAGCAUCCGUAGCCGGUCUGGCAAGUCCCUUGUUAGAUCCAACGAUUCAAUCGUUGGACUGCAAGGGGAUACUGCCAGACUAGGGGGCGGGAGAGGCCGACGGUAUUCCCGGGGUAGGGGUGAAAUCCUAUAAUCCCGGGAGGACCACCAGUGGCGGAGGUUGUCGGCUAGAACGCGCCCGACGGUGAGGGAUGAAAGCUGGGGGAGCGAACCGGAUUAGAUACCCCCGUAGU